Molecule: long non-coding RNA, 1448 nt
Organism: Neopelma chrysocephalum (saffron-crested tyrant-manakin)
Lineage: Eukaryota; Metazoa; Chordata; Aves; Passeriformes; Pipridae
Exons: 2
Source: RefSeq, a predicted model, not a curated record
GUGUCCUGUGCAGGGCCAGGAGUUGGGCUGAUGAUCCUUGGGGGUCCCUUCCAGCUCAGGAUGUUCUGUGGUUCUCUAAUCCAAGCUCAUCCAGGUUUGGCACAUCCCUGGAUCCGCUGCCCCGGGCUGAGGAGCCCAGGCCGACCAGGGGGAUGGCAGCACAGCCCUGUCCUGCUGCUGAGCACCCACCAGAGCACCCCCGAGCCCCCCAGCUGCAGGCAGAGGGACAUCCUGGGUUCCUUGCUCUGUGGCCCUCUGGCUCAGCAGCAGCCAGCAGGGACCACCACCCCAGCAUGGACCAGUGUCCCCAGCAUGGACCACAGCCUGAGCCCUGCCAUGGGCCACCACCUCAGCAUGGACCAGCAUGGACCAACACCCUCAGCAUGGACCAACACGGACCAACACCCUCAGCAUGGACCAGUGUGGACCAACACAAACCACAGCUCCAGCACAUCCCAGUAUCCCCAGUAUGGACCAUCACUGCCCCCAGCGCGGACCACCAUGGCCCACCACCCCACACCCGGCCGGCAGCCCCAGCACGACCCCUUGGCCUCCAGGACAGCAGCAGGACACGGGACAGGUUUGGGCAGGUGGCCCUGAGCCCAAAUAACUCCCCUGAGGCCACACCCAGACCUGGCUGUACACCCCUCAUGGGGGCCCAGCCCCUCCUGCCCCGGGGUGUCACCACACCCUGAUUGACCAGCGGGGACACUGAGGGGGUGACAGAGGUUUGUCUGAGCUGAGCAGGGACUCGGAGCUGAUCCUGGAGGGAAUCAACCAUGCGAGGCGCAUCUGCAAAUCCUGGGGUUCACCUGGUGGUGCCCCUGCCUUGGAGUCUCCACCUUCAGCAGGUUUUGGGAUGACAGCAAGGACCAAGCCCUCCGAGGAGAAAUCCCAUGGGGUGGAGCCGGACAGCCCAGCCCAGAGGGAAGGGAUGAUCCAGGAGGAGGCUCGUGGCUUGUGCAAGGAGAGGUGAAGCUCCAGGGCAGUGCCAGGAGAGCUGGAUGAUGCAGAGGGAGGUGCACAAGGAGGAGCCAGUCCCCCAGGGAAGGACGAGGGAAAGGUGGCAAAAGUCAUAUUUCACAGUAGUCUGGGGUGGGGAAAAAAACCACUUUAUUUUCCAAAUUUGGCACGUGCUGCUGCCUCCUCCCUGCCCAUGGUGUCCCAGCAGAGUCCAGGAGUCAGCAGAGCAACUCACCACUGAUGCCCCAGCAGCUGCUGACCCCAGGAAACCUGAAUAAUACAUAGAAAGCUUCUAAAAAGCAGGAAACCCCAGGAGAUGAGCUGCCUUUUCUCUGGCAGAAACGUGGCCCAGGCACAAGAAUUUCAGCUGUCAUUAGAAAGGACUUGAGAAAGACACACACAUGGAGACACAGGGGGUAUUUCCCUCCCUUUUAAUUCUCACCCCAUGCUCCCUCGAGUCACCGACUGGCAAAAAUAAAAUAAAA